RNAcentral lists this ribosomal RNA (497 nucleotides) under uncultured bacterium. RNAcentral's name for it is "partial 16S ribosomal RNA". It matches the Rfam family "Bacterial small subunit ribosomal RNA", at positions 28 to 507 of the family's 1533-position model. The record is from RNAcentral.
GGUGAACGCUGGCGGCGUGCCUAAUACAUGCAAGUCGAGCGAACAGACGAGGAGCUUGCUCCUCUGACGUUAGCGGCGGACGUGUGAGUAACACGUGGAUAACCUACCUAUAAGACUGGGAUAACUUCGGGAAACCGGAGCUAAUACCGGAUAAUAUAUCGAACCGCAUGGUUCAAUAGUGAAAGACGGUUUUGCUGUCACUUAUAGAUGGAUCCGCGCCGCAUUAGCUAGUUGGUAAGGUAACGGCUUACCAAGGCGACGAUGCGUAGCCGACCUGAGAGGGUGAUCGGCCACACUGGAACUGAGACACGGUCCAGACUCCUACGGGAGGCAGCAGUAGGGAAUCUUCCGCACUGGGCGAAAGCCUGACGGAGCAACGCCGCGUGAGUGAUGAAGGUCUUCGGAUCGUAAAACUCUGUUAUUAGGGAAGAACAAAUGUGUAAGUAACUAUGCACGUCUUGACGGUACCUAAUCAGAAAGCAACGGCUAACUACGUG